GCCUGGAUGGCUCAGUCAGUUAAGCAUCUAACUUCGGCUCAGGUCAUGAUCUCACGGUUUGUGGGUUCAAGUCCCACCUCAGGUU
Molecule: transfer RNA, 85 nt
Filed under: Felis catus (domestic cat)
Lineage: Eukaryota; Metazoa; Chordata; Mammalia; Carnivora; Felidae
Rfam family: tRNA
About the family: Transfer RNA (tRNA) molecules are approximately 80 nucleotides in length. Their secondary structure includes four short double-helical elements and three loops (D, anti-codon, and T loops). Further hydrogen bonds mediate the characteristic L-shaped molecular structure. tRNAs have two regions of fundamental functional importance: the anti-codon, which is responsible for specific mRNA codon recognition, and the 3' end, to which the tRNAs corresponding amino acid is attached (by aminoacyl-tRNA synthetases). tRNAs cope with the degeneracy of the genetic code in two manners: having more than one tRNA (with a specific anti-codon) for a particular amino acid; and 'wobble' base-pairing, i.e. permitting non-standard base-pairing at the 3rd anti-codon position.
Source: Rfam by way of RNAcentral